UCAGACUCCUACGGGAGGCAGCAGUGAGGAAUAUUGGUCAAUGGACGAGAGUCUGAACCAGCCAAGUAGCGUGCAGGAUGACGGCCCUAUGGGUUGUAAACUGCUUUUAUAAGGGAAUAAAGUGAGUCUCGUGAGACUUUUUGCAUGUACCUUAUGAAUAAGGACCGGCUAAUUCCGUGC
Molecule: ribosomal RNA, 180 nt
Filed under: uncultured bacterium
Lineage: Bacteria
Description: partial 16S ribosomal RNA
Rfam family: Bacterial small subunit ribosomal RNA
Source: RNAcentral